GGUUGACUUUUUAAAAUAAAGAGUAUUUCAUAUUUAACGAGUCUAUUGAAAAUGCUCUACAAAUGCGAGAAUAACCAACAAAAAUGGGAGAAAUGUACAAAAUGACUCAUUCGUGGCUACAACAAAAAUAUACAUUCACAAAAAAGGAGCUCACAAAUUGUUAACAUGUACAACAAGUAUGUUUGUCUGUCUUCUAAGUCCUAUUUAUUUAAAGAAACAUUUGCUUCCAAGCAUGUUUUGAUGAGUUACUUUUGUUACUAAGCAAGAAAAGAAAGUACUUAUUUUGACGGUGAGGUAGAACUGAAAAGUUACUCUCAAAACAAGUAACUUAUUUCUAACUUUAACAAACAAAAGAUUAUCCAUUCAAACUAGCCUAUUUACAUAUAUAGAGCUCACAAAAUGUCAAACAUGUACAACAUGCAUGUUUGUCUGUUUUCUAAGUUAUAUUUAGCCCUCG
Molecule: long non-coding RNA, 457 nt
Filed under: Olea europaea subsp. europaea
Lineage: Eukaryota; Viridiplantae; Streptophyta; Magnoliopsida; Lamiales; Oleaceae
Source: RNAcentral